Molecule: non-coding RNA, 853 nt
Filed under: Perkinsus marinus ATCC 50983
Lineage: Eukaryota; Perkinsozoa; Perkinsida; Perkinsidae
Description: Eukaryotic large subunit ribosomal RNA
Rfam family: Eukaryotic large subunit ribosomal RNA
Source: Rfam by way of RNAcentral
CUCUUGGAAAAGAGCGUCAUAGAGGGUGAGAAUCCCGUGAGUCGUUCGCCGUUUGUCACGUACGGUCUGCGUUCUAACGAGUCGCGUUCCUUGGGAUUGGAGCGUAAACGGGUGGUAAAUUUCAUCCAAAGCAAAAUAUAUACUCGAGACCGAUAGCACAAAAGUACCGUGAGGGAAAGGUGAAAAGAACUUUGAGAAGAGGGUUAAAUAGUGCCUGAAAUCGUUGAGAAGGAAGCGGAUGCCGCCGUUGCAUAUGCUGAUUGUAGGAUUGCUGCUCGCUCCUGUCUUCUGCUACUCAUUCACAGACCUGGUCGUGUUGAGCAGUUGUUUGGCAUAUGUUAGUGGUGUUUCCUACUUUCAGUCGUCAGCAUCACUGGCUGACUGGAAAUAAUCCUUGGAUGCUAAUUGGUUCGCUAUCUGUGAAUUGGUUGCUUCCUUGCGAUACUCACUACUCGGUCAGUGAGGAAGUGCGUUUGCUGGUCAACGAGCUUUCUAACUGUCAUUACCCUGCGCUUUUCGAUUCGUCGAGUGGCCAGGAUGUGGCUUUGAGAUUGUUCGCACUUAGUAAUCGCGAUGCUGGCUUCCAACGGUUGCCUCCGGCCCGUCUUGAAACACGGACCAAGGAGUCUAACGUAUGUGCGAGUGUGUGAGUGGCAAACUUAUACGCGUAAUGAAAGUGAGGCCGUAUGGCCAUGUUGGGGUCACCAACAACCGACCUUGAUCUUCGGUGAAAGGUUUGAGUAUGAGCAUAUCCGUUAGGACCCGAAAGAUGGUGAACUAUGCCUGAGCAGGGUGAAGCCAGGGGAAACUCUGGUGGAGGCUCGUAGCGAUACUGACGUGCAAAUCGUUCGUC